UAUUGGGCGUAAGCGCGCGCAGGCGGUUCUCUUAAGUCUGAUGUGAAAUCUCCCUUUCAACCGCGAGACGGCCAUUGGAACUGGGGAACUUGAGUGCAGGAGAGGGGAGCGGAAUUCCACGUGUAGCGGUGAAAUGCGUAGAGAUGUGGAGGAACACCAGUGGCGAAGGCGGCUCUCUGGUCUGUAACUGACGCUGAGGCGCGAAAGCGUGGGAGCGAACA
RNAcentral lists this ribosomal RNA (221 nucleotides) under uncultured Bacillota bacterium. Its description in RNAcentral is "uncultured Firmicutes bacterium partial 16S ribosomal RNA". It matches the Rfam family "Bacterial small subunit ribosomal RNA", at positions 552 to 774 of the family's 1533-position model. The record is from RNAcentral. Lineage: Bacteria; Bacillati; Bacillota.